This is a long non-coding RNA of Mesoplodon densirostris (Blainville's beaked whale), 371 nucleotides long. RefSeq lists it as uncharacterized. The transcript has 2 exons. Lineage: Eukaryota; Metazoa; Chordata; Mammalia; Artiodactyla; Ziphiidae. The record is from RefSeq and is a predicted model, not a curated record.
CCUCGCCGCGGGCGCCCUCAGAGCUGCCGGGCUGAGACGCGGGAGAAACCCUAAGUUGACCCGAGCAGACAGCCUCCUGCUACCUUGAAGGAGAAGAAGUCUCCAAGGGUUGACAGAGCGGCAGAACAGGGGCUGGAACUCAGCUCGCUGGCCCGCCACCAGGCUCCUUUCCCUUCACCAAGUUUGCGGCCGGGAGGAGAGGCUACAGCACAACUGAAGAGGGAGAAACCAUCUUGCCUCCAUGAUUGGACAAACAUGGAGAUAAAAGCUUCCCUGUGUGGAUGAUAGAGCAAAAUGUUAGAAGGGGCUCAGACUCCCUUCCUUCAGACUUCUUGAUAUGUGAGGAAAAUAAAAUGCUAUUAUAAGGUUAA